This 253-nucleotide ribosomal RNA is filed under the name uncultured bacterium. Its description in RNAcentral is "partial 16S ribosomal RNA". It matches the Rfam family "Bacterial small subunit ribosomal RNA", at positions 524 to 776 of the family's 1533-position model. The record is from RNAcentral.
UACGUAGGGGGCGAGCGUUGUCCGGAAUCAUUGGGCGUAAAGCGCGUGUAGGCGGCCCGGUAAGUCCGCUGUGAAAGUCCAGGGCUCAACCCUGGGAUGCCGGUGGAUACUGUCGGGCUCGAGUCCGGAAGAGGCGAGUGGAAUUCCUGGUGUAGCGGUGAAAUGCGCAGGUAUCAGGAGGAACACCAAUGGCGAAGGCAGCUCGCUGGGACGUGACUGACGCUGAGACGCGAAAGCGUGGGGAGCAAACAGG